GGAGAAAGCUACGUCUCAUCUCAUCUCUGUGAAGGAUACGGAGCGAGAGGAUAGAGAGAAGUCCCGGUCUCCAUCGAGCUAGAUAACUUCAAACAUAAGUUUGACUAAUCUCAUAAAUCAUUCCCUAUGUUUGCUAUUUUCUAUAAAAUAGAAAAUUUAUAUAACAGUGUGUUCAAAAAAAAAUUAUAUAACAGAAGUAUAGUUAGUUGAGCAAUUCUCUCAAAUAGACUUUUUAAUUUUUUUGUCACAAAAAUUAAAACGACCAAAAUAACAUUUUUAUUUUGAAAUUUUUUUUUUUUUUAAUUUUGUUAAAUUUGAAAUCCUAUCCCCCAAAAUCUCACUCCUCAACUCUAAACCCUAAACCUUAAACUCUAAACCCUAAAUCCUAAACCUUAAACCUUAAACCCUAAACCCCAUCCCUUAACUCUAAACCCUAA
This 437-nucleotide long non-coding RNA is filed under the name Brassica napus (rape). Its description in RNAcentral is "long non-coding RNA (BNAP_LNC015059)". Lineage: Eukaryota; Viridiplantae; Streptophyta; Magnoliopsida; Brassicales; Brassicaceae. The record is from RNAcentral.